This is a long non-coding RNA of Oreochromis niloticus (Nile tilapia), 234 nucleotides long. RefSeq lists it as uncharacterized. NCBI's taxonomy places the organism in Eukaryota, Metazoa, Chordata, Actinopteri, Cichliformes, Cichlidae. The record is from RefSeq and is a predicted model, not a curated record. The transcript has 2 exons.
UUUGUAGUACAGUAGCUAAUGACAUUAUGCUGGACACUGGUGUGGGAGUAGUGAGGAUGUGGGCUGAUGAGACAAGCCGUCUCAGCCGUUUCCGGAUGCUGUUCACAUCUUUUGCUGACCCACCCUGUAUGGGCGGUGCGUUCUUUUGCCACACUAACAUGUGCAUCAACACUUCUCUGGUGUGCAACGGCAUACAAAACUGUGUCUUUCCUUGGGACGAAAGCAACUGCAAAG